Acinonyx jubatus (cheetah) is the source of this 3813-nucleotide long non-coding RNA. RefSeq lists it as uncharacterized. The record is from RefSeq and is a predicted model, not a curated record. NCBI's taxonomy places the organism in Eukaryota, Metazoa, Chordata, Mammalia, Carnivora, Felidae. The transcript has 2 exons.
CGGCGGCCUGCAGAGGACAGUAUUCAUGGUGACAGUGAGGACCUCAUCCGUUCUGUCCCUUGGUGACCCAAAGAUGGGUGUCCAGUGGAAACAACUUUCCUUCCUGCUCUCUGGCCUGGGCGCUGCUGAGGUCUCCACCUGCAGCCCUGCCGGGCACCCCUGGCCUAUUCAGGAGCUAGAGUCUGGGACUGGUCUUGGUGCUGGGAGGACAGCUUAGGGCACCAACCAGUCAGUCCUAAGAUACAGCCCUCCUUCACCCUACUUGGUACUGCCCUCUAUGGCUGAGGCUUUUCUUGGGGAGGCAAUAUGUAUCUUCCUCAAUUUACGAUGGGGUUACAACCUGACAAUCUCACUGUAAGUUGAAGGUAUUAAGUCAAAACAAGCAUCAUAGCUCAGCCUAGCCUACUUUACUUUUUAAAGAUUUUAUUUUUAAGUAAUCUCCACACCCAACGUAGAGCUUGAACUCACAACCCCAAGAUCACGAGUUGCAUGCUCUGCGGCCUGAGCCAGCCAGGUACCCCAGUUCUGAGCAUUUAGAGUAGGCUAGGCCACGGGCGCCUGAGUGGCUCAGUUGGUUGAAUGACUGAUUUCAGCUUGGUCAUGAUCUCACGAUUUGUGAGUCUGAGCCCCACAUCGGGCUUUGCACUGAUAGCACAGAGCCUGCUUUGGAUUCUCUGUCUCCUUCUUUCUCUGCCCCUCCCCUGCUCACGUGCAUUUUCUAAGAUAAAUAGAUAAAAUUAACAAAUUAAUAGUCUAGGCUACUUUAAAAAAAAAAAAAGAGGGCCACCUGGCUGGCUCAGUUGGUGGAGCACGUGACUCUUGAUCUCAGGGUUGUGAGUACAAGCCCCAUGCUGGAUGUAGGGAUUACUUCAAAAUAAAAUAAAAUUAAAUAAAUGAAUAAAUAAAUAAAUGCAUGCUCAGUACACUUACAUUAGCCUACAAUUGGGCUAAGUUUGUUUUAUAUUAAAGUGUUGGAUAUCUCCGGUAAUUUACUGAAUACUGCACUGAAAGUGACAAACAGAAAGUCUGCCCAGGGGCUGCGGCUCCCCACCACAGUCUGGUAUCGAGGAAGAAUAUUAUAUCGCACACCUUUAGCCCAGGAGAAGCUCAAACUUCACAAUUUGAAGUAUGGUUUCUACUCAGCGCGUACUGAUUUCUCAUCUCAUAAAGCUGAAAAUCCUUAAGUUGAGCCAUUAUAAAUCAUGGACGGUCUGUAUAGUACAGUGACGACGAACAAGGGCUCUGACUGAAGAAAGAUGCGGGUUCUGCCAUUUACCAGCAGGGAGACCAUGACCACUGGGUUAGUGACCCAGUCUUUCUGAACCAGCUUCCUCUAGGGAAUGAGAAUAGUACGUACUUCUUAGGUCUAUAGCAAGGACUAAAUACAACACGUGCAGAAUACUUAGCACAGUGACUGGCAUGGCCAACAUACAAUAAAUAAUGCUUUCGUUUCUCUAGCUCCUAACUCAACACCCCACCUGGGGCUGCAACGGUUGGCCAAACCCCUUGCCAAGUUCUCCUCAGUCCUGGCCGCAAGCUGAGGUCUGACUGCCGGCAGAGUUACCGCCUCUAAUAGUCCCAGAACUAGGCCGGGCCCCACGGCCAGCCAUCAGAUGGCAAUUAGCCAGUCCCUCCCUCCUUGGGUAACUCAGAUCCUUCAGUACGUGGUGCGUCCGGACUCCCUCUACCACAGCUGCCCUCCUCACACCCAGUUCAACAAGCGUAUCUGAGGUCAGGUCCUAGCACCUCACUGGGGUGAGUCUGGGGUGACUGCAAAGGCAUAAAGGGCAAGCAAGCAUCAAGGGCCUAGAGCCCAGCAGCCACAACCACCACUUACUAGCUCCCGAAUCUGAGCUUCCUGAGCCGCCACAACAUCACCACUGUGCUUCAGCUUCUCCUCAGAAGCCUGCAAGCUGUGCUCGAGCUCUUGCACCUGAGGGGGAAAGGGAGCGUCUUCAUUCAGAAGAAGUCACAGGGUGGGAACAAAUGGCUUUAAAAAUCAAAUCCGUUUAAAUAUCAUUACCACUAUUCUACCAUUCUUUUCCUCCAGUCUAUUUUUGUGACUUUUUAAAAAAAAAUAAUUCUAGGCAAACUUUGUAUUUUUCCUCUUCACUCAAGUUUCCUUUUGUGUUUCAAUGUAGCCUUGAGAACCUGGAUUAUUUCCUUAAGGGAUGUUUCACAAUCUACUGACCCACUGCCUCCUGUGCUGGCGCUCACGUUUCCCGCUUUUCUGUCUGAGACAGUUAACGUCUUCACUCGACAGUUUUUGACCUGGUUUGAGCCACUUCCUUACGACAGAUUCCAGGAAGUGGGAUGACUGCUCACCGUACAAACUUUCACUCAUUCUACAGACGUCAACCGAGUCUGACUGUGUACCCCGCACCGCACUAGGACGCUAGGCCGGCCCCGCAGAUGGGACAACACCCUGUCCGCAGAGCCAGAUCUUCCAACGGGCCAUUUUUAUCUGAUUUGAGCUGUCUUUGCCAAUUUCCCUUAUAAAGUCCUCUUGUUCGCUGAAUAACAUUUGACCUUGAGGAAGCUUAUCAUGAAAACAAACACAAGGAAGGUUUGCAGCUUUGUCACGGAGAGGAAGAAGGUGGCAAUCUGGACGUCCAGCGCCUGGCAGAUGACCGGAAUGUGGUGUAGUGAGCGCAAUCCACUGGACACAGCCAGAAGAUGGGGCGGGUGAAAGGAACAGUGGAUGUGGAACUACAUCACUCACAUAAAUUAACACACAUGCACACAAAACAAGGUCACCAAUUUUAAGGUAACCCAACAACAAAAGGAUCUCUAUUAACCACAUUAGAAUGGCUUCCUGUGGGAAGGAAGGGACUGGGGAUAAAAGGGAAUGAACAAACGAGAACAAUUUUGUGUGGAACAAUGGUGGCAAUGUGGCAAGAAUGAAGAAAAUGACUAACUCAACCAUGUGUAAGUAAGAUCCAAAACAGUCCCUUUAAAAGAAAACUUUUGGGGUGCUUGGGUGGCUCAGUCAGUUGAGCGUCUGACUUCCACUCGGGUCAUGACCUUGUGGUUCAUGGGUUUGAACCCCGUGUCGGGCUCUGUGCUCACAGCUCAGAGCCUGAAGCCUGCUUCAGAUUCUGUGUCUCCCUCUCUCUCUGCCCCUCCUUGCUCACACUCUAUCAAAAAUAAACAUUACAAAAGAAAAGAAAAGAAAACCUCUGACCCCAGGGGAUUCUCCCACAACCAUGUCAUCCAACCAGGUUACCACCCAGACAUGGGAAUCACUAAGAGUGAGGUUAGUACCCGAGUCUCCAGGAUGUCCAUGGCCUUGGCCUGGCUGCUUCUGGCUGCCAAGAGCUGCUGUCUGGUAUCCUCCAAAUUCUGCUCAGCAACUGUUUUCUGUAAGUUGAAGGAAGAGUAUAAGAAAAUAGUCAUUUUCCCACUGAAUAAAUACUUACUGAUACCUACAAUAUACUGUGAUUUGUGCAAGACACAAAGGACACAAAUGCAUUAACAAAAAUAAGGGCUGAUUGAGAUAAAUUUCACAUUACAUAAAGUAUACACAGAGGGGCGCCUGGGUGGCUCAGUUAAGCAUCCGACUUUGGCCAAGGUCAUGAUCUCGCUGUUCCCGAGUUCAAGCCCUGUGUCGAGCUCUGUGCUGACAGCUCAGAGCCUGGAGCCUGCUUCGGAUUUUGUGUCUCCCUCUCUCUCUCUCUCUCUCUCUCUCUGCCCCUCCCCGGCUCUUGCUCUCUCUCUCUCUCUCAAAAAUAAAUAAGCAUUAAAAUUUAAUUAAAAAAAGUACGCAAUAAAUUUGACACAGUCCUUAGUCCUUGAGGCUGGGGCAAAAGAUUA